ACGGGAGGCAGCAGUGGGGAAUAUUGCACAAUGGGGGAAACCCUGAUGCAGCGACGCCGCGUGAGUGAAGAAGCAUCUCGGUAUGUAAAGCUCUAUCAGCAGGGAAGAAAAUGACGGUACCUGACUAAGAAGCCCCGGCUAACUACGUGCCAGCAGCCGCGGUAAUACGUAGGGGGCAAGCGUUAUCCGGAAUUACUGGGUGUAAAGGGUGCGUAGGUGGUAUGGCAAGUCAGAAGUGAAAACCCAGGGCUUAACUCUGGGACUGCUUUUGAAACUGUCAGACUGGAGUGCAGGAGAGGUAAGCGGAAUUCCUAGUGUAGCGGUGAAAUGCGUAGAUAUUAGGAGGAACACCAGUGGCGAAGGCGGCUUGCUGGACGAUGACUGACGUUGAGGCUCGAAAGCGUGGGGAGCAAACAGGAUUAGAUACCCUGGUAGUCCACGCCGUAAACGAUGACUGCUAGGUGUCGGGUGGCAAAGCCAUUCGGUGCC
This 489-nucleotide ribosomal RNA is filed under the name uncultured bacterium. RNAcentral's name for it is "bacterial SSU rRNA". It matches the Rfam family "Bacterial small subunit ribosomal RNA", at positions 341 to 847 of the family's 1533-position model. The record is from RNAcentral.